UAUACAAGGUUUGUUAUGGCAAAAGAUUAGGUGAUCAUACUAAUUUUAAUGUGAUAAACAGAUGAUGUGCAUUUAAAGAAGUCAAGAAAUGCAAUGAAGCGAGUUGGUCUGAAGACAAAGAAUGUUCAGCUGGCCAAAACUCCCAGAUACCAUGUAGUCAAGAGUCCACUUAUUCAGAAAGCUCUGUGUGUCAAAACAUCUGGUGACUGUCUGGAUGAUAACAAUGAAAGCCCUGAUGACAGUUAUUUAAACUCAAGCCAGCCCAACCCAGUAUUCUUAGGGAAGGAACCAAAGGAAACAAAAUGCAAAGUCACCAUGGAGAAAUUGUUUGAUCUGAAUACUAAGAUACUCCAACAAAUUCAAAUGCUGGAACAGAGACAAGCUGUCAUCAUGAAUGACUUGGCAAAAGUUAAGUCUGUUCUCAUGAAGCGGGCAGAAGAAGAUGCCCAUUAGGAACAGAACACCCGACCAGUUAUCUGACAGCAGCACUUAUUUAAUUCCAUACCCAACCCGACCCAUUUGACAUUAAGACCGUGACCUGAGUCGCACAUGCAUUAAAUCUACCAUAUCAGGCUGGAAAAUUAAAUAAAGACCUUUUACGUUAAUUUGAUACUUUCA
Molecule: long non-coding RNA, 618 nt
Organism: Cyprinus carpio (common carp)
Lineage: Eukaryota; Metazoa; Chordata; Actinopteri; Cypriniformes; Cyprinidae
Source: Ensembl